This 446-nucleotide ribosomal RNA is filed under the name uncultured delta proteobacterium. RNAcentral describes it as "bacterial SSU rRNA". It matches the Rfam family "Bacterial small subunit ribosomal RNA", at positions 29 to 505 of the family's 1533-position model. The record is from RNAcentral. Lineage: Bacteria; Deltaproteobacteria.
AACGAACGUUGGCGGCGUGCUUAACACAUGCAAGUCGAGGGAGAAGCUCGCUUCGGUGAGUGGAGACCGGCGCACGGGUGAGUAACACGUGGAUAAUCUACCUUCGGGUCUGGGAUAACAUUUCGAAAGGAAUGCUAAUACUGGAUACGUCAGCCUUGGCUGGGAAAGCUCCGGCGCCCGAAGAUGAGUCCGCGUCCCAUUAGGUAGUUGGUGAGGUAAGAGCUCACCAAGCCGAAGAUGGGUAGCUGGUCUGAGAGGAUGAUCAGCCACACUGGGACUGAGACACGGCCCAGACUCCUACGGGAGGCAGCAGUGGGGAAUCUUGCGCAAUGGACGAAAGUCUGACGCAGCAACGCCGCGUGGGUGAUGAAGGCCUUCGGGUCGUAAAGCCCUGUCAGAAGGGAAGAUAAUGACGGUACCUUCAAAGGAAGCACCGGCUAACUCCG